AGGUAUGAGUUGAAAUACAUCUUGCUGUUGGUUUUAUAUCAGACAUAUGUUCUGUUGCUUUUUCAACUCCACGAUGUGGGACUUUAUGCAAUGCAAUAGCUUGGAGUCUAUUAGUAUUCCUGCACUUUCAAAGCUUCACCUGAGGUUGGGUCAGAGGCAUUAAUGUAAGUUCCACAAUCCCUUCACUUUACAAAUUUGAUUCCAUAAUCUCUACCUCAUACUCUUCAUAUGCUUCUGAAGUGUUCACUGUUGGAGGCCUUCAUUGAUGUUAUUGCCACCAGGUUUGUGCUCUUCAUAAUUUUUUUUAGUUCCUUUUUACAAUUAAAGUUUUAUUCAGAGAAUUAGAUAGAUGUAGUUAGUAACAUAGUCCGGAAAAUUCAAGUAAGUUUCAUCAUCAUGUCUUUAGAACUGCAAAAUUGUAAUCUUUAAAAAAGCAGGUUUGAGAGCCUUUAUUUUUGUCUGUGCAAGUACAAUAUAUAAAUAUAUUAAACCAAACCUUGUUAAGACUAAGAAGAAAGUAGGGGCAUGAAGUUUGAUUCACAACUCCAGACUAGCUAAUUGCUAACACAUCGGAAUUCAGAAUAUAAGUUGAAGAUCUCGACACUCUCAGUUUUAUUCCUAUUGAUUCUAAAGACUUUCUUCUUUUUUCUGUAUUUUCCAUUUACUUGUUGAUAUUGUAUAUAGAAUUGCCCAACGCAGUUAUUUACUUUUAUUAAAGGGUUAGUAUUCAUGUGGUUCUUGUGUGUCUGGUCUAUCUUAUAGUCAAUCCUGAAGCAGGUAUUCCUAGCUUCACGGAUUCAAGUGAAAUCGGUUCUCCUGUCAUUGAUAUGUGUCACGCGCAUUUAUCUGUUUUUGCCUUCAUUUUUAUCAGCAACUCAUUCUUGUCACUUACAUUUUCCUACCACAGAACAUCACUACUGCAUUAAAAAAAUGCCUACCUUCAUUCCUUACUUUUGCUACAGAUAAUAGUGAGCUGUUUUUAUGCAUAAAUAACUAAUUUUUCUAAAUAAUGUCCUUCAUUCCUUACUUUUGCUACAGACCAAGUAAACCAUUUAAGAAACCAUGUUCCAACUUAAUACCACACCAUCUUGAAUCCAUUAAGUCCCACAUCGGCUAUAAUAUGACAUAAGUAAGUGUUUAUAAAAGCUUGUCAUGCUAGCAAGUUUGCCGAGCUGAGUAGCGCCAGCUUGUGACCCAAGUGGGGGUACAAAGGUGAUGGAACAUGACUUUGGCUUAACAGGUUGGACUGGUGUGUGCACCAUGCUGGCUUGCCUGCUUCAAGUUGAGAGUCGAGCUAUGGGACUUGAGCGAAGGCAUGAGUCUUGUGGAUCUUAGACAGGAGGGUACUGCGUGAGGCUGGUUUCACAGAGCAGCGAACACCUCCUACUCCUAACAGUGGAGGGAUUACAGGCUGCUGCCUGCACUUCCAGCCCACUACACCUGGUGAGCCUAGCCCUUGAACCAUCAUUUUUGGUGAACUCGUGGAAUUCCAUUUCCAUCACAUUUGAUUUCCUCAUGCAUAUUUUUGUAGUUAAAUAUAGAUCUCUCAACAUCAUUAUCCUUCAAUAUCACUACUGAAUCUGUCACCUUGUCCGAGUUCUAUGAAUAUAUUCUUCAUGAAACCCUUCUUCCUAUAGUUUCUCAAACACCCUUAUGUGAAAACCAUUCCAUUUCAAAGGAAGGGAUGGUGGAAUACAUGCUGGAUCAGCUGAUAAGGCUGGAGAGUGAUAUGUACUUGCCACAGGUUUGUGCUCUUCAUUUUUUUGUUGAGAUAAUUCAAUUGAUGGUUGUUUGGUCUAGCUUUGUGGUUAGUACCGACAUAUCAUGUUUAAGGUAUUUGAAGGCCUUAGGGUCCGUUUCGAUUGACUUAUUUGAGUUUAUCUACUGGUAUAAACAUUUGUGAGACAAUUCUGGUGAGUUUACGGAAACGACUUAUCGCAUGUCCAUAAGAUGUUUUCAACUUAUUUCCAUGAUGGCUUAUGAAAAUAGCUUAUAACUUAUAUGAAAAAAGUUUGACUUUAUUUUAUCUUUUGUCAUAGUGAAUAGCUUAUCCAAAAACUCUUAUAUGACAUUAAAUGAGGUAUCAUUUUGAAUAUAUGAACUUCAAAAUUCUUUUGAAAAGUAAAACAAUCUAAUCUACUUUAUGUUUGAUCCAUUAUGUUUGAGUGGUCAAGACAUGACCGAAUCAAAAUGUCGAACAUCUACAGUGCCGUUUUUGGGACCGAAAUUUGGCCAGCUGAGGAAUAUGGAAGAACAAUGUACACAAUUCGCCAAAGAGUUGGCCCGUUACUCAUGAGAGUGCAGAAGAUUUAUGAUAAAAACAAGUGGCGAGUUAACUGAAAAUGAGAUCAUCAUAACUGAGAGAACACUGAUUUAGUUAGUAACAGAGUCAGAUAAAUUCAAGUAAGUUUCAUCAUUUUGCAAUUAAAAAUGCAAAAAGGAUAGGUGACUUUAUUUUUGUAAGACAAAAUAGACAUGGCAUAAACAAAACGUUUUCAUAUCAAAUUAUAUCUGCAUUUUGUAUCUUGGAAUAUUAAUUUCUAAUCCUGAAUUCUUUACUUCUACUUGAUUGAAUCCUGAAGAAGCACCGAAUUCUGAUCUUGAAGACUGCAAGGUGAUAAAACUAUUACUCUACAAGUUAAAUACGCUGCCUAACGUUGUUGCUUUAACAGAGAAUCAGAACUGGUCUCGACCUUACUAACGUAAGAGCAUUCGUGGAAUUCGAUGAGUCAUUGAUUCAUUUAUCAACGAGAAUGCCAUCAAAUCAAUUUUUGGAAUAUUUAAUAAGAAUGCUCUCUACUUUAUGAAUAUUGCUUGAAUCAGGGAGUUUGUGCUUGUUAAUGUUAUUUAUUUGGACAUGAUCUGAGUGUGUUGGAUUUUAGGACUUGACCCUUGAUCUUAUUUUUCGUUGUUUAAGAAUAAGUGUAUAUGAUGCUUAUUUAUGUGU
This is an RNA transcript of Trifolium pratense (red clover), 2947 nucleotides long. It is a transcript of the gene named protein MET1, chloroplastic-like, with no coding region annotated. Lineage: Eukaryota; Viridiplantae; Streptophyta; Magnoliopsida; Fabales; Fabaceae. The transcript is spliced from 2 exons. The record is from RefSeq and is a predicted model, not a curated record.